Long non-coding RNA from Microtus ochrogaster (prairie vole), 1352 nucleotides. RefSeq lists it as uncharacterized. Lineage: Eukaryota; Metazoa; Chordata; Mammalia; Rodentia; Cricetidae. The record is from RefSeq and is a predicted model, not a curated record.
CUCUUGAAGGCAGCCUGAGGGAUGAGCUAGCUGGGAACACAGACAUCUGCAGGAAGCCUGGGCUUGUGGUGAGUCAAAGGGAACUUGGAGAUGAAACACCUGGCUCAGCUCCUGACAGCUGUGUACAUUCUUUCCCCUCCGCGGAACCUUUGGUCCUUGCUGGACUGGCCUGGUAACUAACUUCAGGAUGAAGAGAGACCAGGUCCUGUGAGGCAGCUUUACAGAUGGUGAAAACUGCAACUCCAGAACCACAUGCCCUGUGUCUUCCAGACAGCAUCAGACAAACCCAGCCAUGCUUACCACUUCUGCUCAGGCCCACGAGGUGGAGGAGCUGGCCCGGAGGAAGAGGAGGGCUUUCUGGGACCAAGUUUUCCCAGAGAAGGAGGCAGUAGGAUUUCCAGGUGGGAGGGCUUGGAAGAAAGGCCUGAAUGAAGAACGACUGUGGAGGAAGGGGUCCCACACCCUGGCCCCUGCUCCCACCCUGCUGUUGUGGUUUGAGUCUAAUAAGUAGAUGUGGGAGACACUUGAGCAAGGCAGGGCAGAGUAAAAACCCUGUGUAGGAAGUAGGAAUUUUAGAGUCCUCUGUCUUAAUUUCUUAGGAAUCUAUCAUGUCUGCUUAUCCCUUCUGUUUGGUUUUUGUUAAAUUAACAAUCCAUAUUUAUAAUGUAUUGUCUGAACCUCGUAAAAAUCAUUGCAUUUACACAUGAUGUGUACUUCCACUAAACUUGCAAAGUUUUAUCCCCGAUAUUCCCUUCAUUUAAGGGUGAAUACUUGAUAGUGGAGGAUGUUGAAAACCAGGUAGGCAUUCUAGGUCAUGUACUGACCAAUUCAUCCAUCCAUCCAUCCAUCCAUCCAUCCAUCCAUCCAUCCAUCCAUCUAUCCAUCCAUCCGUUGUGAGCUGAGCUGUCUUUAUACACUUAUGUGUUGAAACCCUCUAGUACCUUAUAUAAUGUAACUGCAUUGGAGACCGUCUUUAAAGGGCUGUUUAAGUUAAAAUGGGGUUGUUAGAGUGAGUCCUGAUUUAACCUGACUGGCGACCUUACCAAAAGCGGGCAGAGACAAAUGUGCACAAAGCAAGAUCUGAAAGAGGGGCACAGCAACAAUAUAACCAUCUCCCAGCCAAGAAGAGAGGCCUCAGAAGAAACCAGAUCUUCUGACAUCUUCAGCUUUCAUUUUUUUUAUCUCCACAUCAUUCAAGCCAGUCUGUGGUGUAUGGUUUAGAGAAGCUUGGACAAAUAUAUAUGACAUUUAUCCACCCACUGAUCCAUCCACCCGCCCAUCCACCCACCUAUCCAUUAAUCCACCCAUCUACCCAUUCAUCUACAUAUCCAUCUGUCAGUCUGUCCAUCCAU